ACUCCUACGGGAGGCAGCAGUGGGGAAUAUUGCACAAUGGGCGCAAGCCUGAUGCAGCCAUGCCGCGUGUAUGAAGAAGGCCUUCGGGUUGUAAAGUACUUUCAGCGGGGAGGAAGGCGAUAAGGUUAAUAACCUUGUCGAUUGACGUUACCCGCAGAAGAAGCACCGGCUAACUCCGUGCCAGCAGCCGCGGUAAUACGGAGGGUGCAAGCGUUAAUCGGAAUUACUGGGCGUAAAGCGCACGCAGGCGGUCUGUCAAGUCGGAUGUGAAAUCCCCGGGCUCAACCUGGGAACUGCAUUCGAAACUGGCAGGCUAGAGUCUUGUAGAGGGGGGUAGAAUUCCAGGUGUAGCGGUGAAAUGCGUAGAGAUCUGGAGGAAUACCGGUGGCGAAGGCGGCCCCCUGGACAAAGACUGACGCUCAGGUGCGAAAGCGUGGGGAGCAAACAGGAUUAGAUACCCUUGUAGUCCCAUGA
This 474-nucleotide ribosomal RNA is filed under the name uncultured organism. RNAcentral's name for it is "partial 16S ribosomal RNA". It matches the Rfam family "Bacterial small subunit ribosomal RNA", at positions 335 to 800 of the family's 1533-position model. The record is from RNAcentral.